Molecule: long non-coding RNA, 1723 nt
Filed under: Calidris pugnax (ruff)
Lineage: Eukaryota; Metazoa; Chordata; Aves; Charadriiformes; Scolopacidae
Description: lncRNA (ENSCPUG00000004510.1)
Source: RNAcentral
UCUGCCCCCCCCCCACUUACUCCAGGCCGUUGCCCCGGGGCUCCAGCUCCAUCUCCUGCAGGAGGGAAGCCACGGUCAGGGAUGGGCAGGGGACACCAGGGCAGAUGGGGGACCCAUGGUGGGCAGGGGAUGAUGGCAGGCAGGGGACACCAGGGCAGAUGGGGGACCCACAGCAGGCAGGGGACGGUGGCAGGAAGGGGACAGUGGCAGGAAGGGGACACCAGGACAGAUGGGGGACCCACGGCGGGCAGGGGACGGUGGCAGGAAGGGUGCCAUGGCAGGAAGGGGACACCAGGACAGAUGGGGGACCCACAGUGGGCAGGGGACGGUGGCAGGAAGGGGAUGGUGGCAGGAAGGGGACACUAGGGCAGGCAGGGGACACCAGGGCAGAUGGGGGACCCACAGCAGGCAGGGGACGAUGGCAGGAAGGGGACGGUGGCAGGAAGGGGACACCAGGGCAGGAAGGGGACACCAAGGCAGAUGGGGGACCCAUGGCAGGCAGGGGAUGGUGGCAGGAAGGGGACACCAGGGCAGAUGGGGGACCCAUGGCAGGCAGGGGACGAUGGCAGGAAGGGUGCCAUGGCAAGCAGGGGGACCCAUGGCAUUCAGGGGACAGCAUCAGGCAGGGGAGGGUGACAGGCAGGGGGACCCGUGGUAGGGAGGGGACAAUGUCAGGCAAGGACCCCAUGGCACUCAGGGGACGACUUCAGGCAGGGGAGGGUGGGUGACACGCAGGGGAGCCAUGGGAGGGAGGGGACGAUGGCAGGCAGGGGACAGUGCCAGGUGGGGGACACAUGGGAGGGAGGGGACGGUGACACAUAGGGUGGUAUGUCAGGCAGGGGAUGGUGACAGGCAGGGGAUGGUGACAGGCAGGGGACGGUGACAGGCAGGGGACGGUGACAGAGAGGGGACCCAUGGCAGGGAGGGGACAAUGUCAGGCAGGGACCCAUGGCAUUCAGGGGACGGUGGCAGGCAGGCGACACUGACGGAUAGGGGACCCAUGGCAGGCAGGGGACGAUGGCAGGGAGGGUGCCAUGGCAGGGAGGGGACAAUUUCAGGCAGGGGACCCACGGCAGGGAGUGGGUGGUGACACAUGGGGUGGCAUGACAAGCAGGGACCCAUGGCAGGGAGGGGACAAUGCCAGGCAGGGAGGGUGACACGUAGGGGACCUAUGGCAGGGAGGGGACGAUGGCAGGCAGGGGACCCAUGGCAGGCAGGGGAUGGUGGCAGGGAGGGGACGAUGGCAGGCAGGGGACAGUGGCAGUCAGGGGAUGGUGACAGGCAGGGGACCCAUGGCAGGGAGGGGACGAUGCCAGGCAGGGAGGGUGGUAUGUCAGGGAGGGGAGGAUGGCAGGGAGGGGACGGUGACAGGUAGGGGACCCAUGGCCGGGAGGGGACGGUGACACAUAGGGUGUUAUGGCAGGGAGGGGACGGUGACAGGCAGGGGAGAUGACACGUAGGGGACGGUAACGGGAAGGGGACCCAUGGCCAGGAGGGGACCCAUAGCUGGGAGGGGACAGUGACAGGUUGGGGACCCACGACCGGGAGGGGACAGUGACAGCUGGGGACCCAUAGCCGGGAGGGGACAGUGACAUUUGGGGACCCAUGGCCGGGAGGGCGCGGUGCCAGCGGCGCGGGGCGAGGUGCGGUGCCGGCCCAACCGGAUGUUUUUGGGCUGACUCCGGGCCCGGCCCCGCGGGAUCCGCCCUCUCCCCGCCCCCCC